Molecule: ribosomal RNA, 253 nt
Filed under: uncultured bacterium
Lineage: Bacteria
Description: partial 16S ribosomal RNA
Rfam family: Bacterial small subunit ribosomal RNA
Source: RNAcentral
AACGUAGGUGGCGAGCGUUAUCCGGAUUUACUGGGCGUAAAGGGUGUGCAGGCGGGCUGUUAAGUGGGGUAUGAAAUAUCCCGGCUCAACCGGGAGAGGUUAUGCCAGACUGGCAGUCUAGAGAGCGAGAGAGGGACGUGGAAUUCCGGGUGUAGUGGUGAAAUGCGCAGAUAUCAGGAGGAACACCGAUGGCGAAGGCAGGUCUCUGGGCAUUAACUGACGCUGAGGAGCGAAAGCAUGGGGAGCAAACAGG